Molecule: long non-coding RNA, 280 nt
Filed under: Mytilus galloprovincialis (Mediterranean mussel)
Lineage: Eukaryota; Metazoa; Mollusca; Bivalvia; Mytilida; Mytilidae
Source: RNAcentral
UGUGAAUCCAAAUACGUUGACCUGUUUGUAUGUAUGUUCUUGUCUUACUUUUUAGAUGACUAGAACAGCUCUACUGGUAUUCUUCAUGACAGUAAUAGUCGCUCAAAUAUAUGGAAAGUCAAUUACAAGAUCUCAACCGGAUAUAGAGACUGAAUGUUGGGAACUUUGCUCUAUGGACUUCGAGAAAUGUCGAGAGUUUUAUAUGUGUCCAAAGAUACAUGACGAAUUCGGCGAAGCUCAACAAUGUUCAUCCUGUGCAAAAAGAUCUAUUGCCUGUCUG